Molecule: long non-coding RNA, 621 nt
Organism: Poeciliopsis prolifica (blackstripe livebearer)
Lineage: Eukaryota; Metazoa; Chordata; Actinopteri; Cyprinodontiformes; Poeciliidae
Exons: 3
Source: RefSeq, a predicted model, not a curated record
AACGGGGAAGGGUUAUAAAAAGCAGGCACACUCUGACCAUCCACGACACACCAUUUUUUUUCUACACAGAGACGGAAAAGAGGAAAAGAAGUCAAGAUGAAACUGUAUCUUGCAGCUGCCGUGCUGUUGCUGGCUCUUGUCGCACACAGGUUCUUCUUAGUGUUUUAUACAGAAAAGUCUUGCAUGUUUCUUUCUGCUAUUAUCUCAUUGUCCUUGUUUUUUCACUGACUUUCAGAGGCUCAGGAUGACUCAUUUGCAGAAAGGUCUCAAACUUUGGGGAUCAGAUCACAGAGUUCGGCAAGAAUGUAGCUGAAAAAGCCAAGACCCAUUUUGACGCCAUUGCAACCAGUGAUUUUGCAGAGAGCACCAGGAAUUGGUUCACAGAGAAAUUCCAGCAGUUUAAAGACAAGGUACAAGAAAUGAACCAAUGAACUGGUGGCCCAGUCAAUGACCUCCCCUCUGUUCCCAACGCCCACGCUGACAGAUGACUUGCUUCUACACCAUCUCAAGGCUGAAGUCACGUCGCUCAACAAAAUGGAUGAAUUUGCCAAUUCUUAGCCUGUGAUCUUUCUUUGGGAAAACUGUGUAAAACUGCAAUAAAAUACAUGGAAUGGAAUAAAA